RNAcentral lists this non-coding RNA (179 nucleotides) under bacterium. Its description in RNAcentral is "6S RNA". It matches the Rfam family "6S / SsrS RNA". Rfam says of the family: E. coli 6S RNA was the first non coding RNA to be sequenced, but its function was unknown until recently. It consists of 184 nucleotides that fold into an extended hairpin structure with a large single-stranded internal bulge. RNAcentral also lists the same sequence under 1 other name. The record is from RNAcentral.
AGCUCCCUGCUGUGCUCGUGACAGGUGAAUAGUCUUGAGCCAACACCCAUAAGAAGGGAGCCGUAUUGGGGUGUGAAUUGCAGAAGCGUAUUACGCAUGUAGCAUGAAACACCCUUGAGGCGCCCACUUUACUUAAGGGUUCAGAGACUUGAACUUGCACGGCACCAAGCGGGGAUUUU